GACUUAGUUUGUUCGAAGACCAAUUCUCAAUCUUGUUAUCUGGCAAGAUCAUUUGUCCAUGGCGAAGAGACACCUUUAUUUUCUGAUUACUCAAAAAAUCAAGGUUCUUAUAACAAUGAUUUAACUCAAAUGGAAGGUGAUGAGAAAUUCUUUGAGGCAGCUGAAACCUUGGUUGACUAUGCUGAUUAUCAGAUACAGUCACCUGGAAAAGGUCUUGAGUAUGUAAAAUCUCAAAGUUCGCUCCAAUUGAAAAGUUUUGCACCCCCCAGUUUUUCACGUAUUGUUGGUCUGCUUCCAC
This 298-nucleotide unclassified non-coding RNA is filed under the name Hevea brasiliensis (rubber tree). Lineage: Eukaryota; Viridiplantae; Streptophyta; Magnoliopsida; Malpighiales; Euphorbiaceae. The record is from RNAcentral.